RNAcentral lists this ribosomal RNA (253 nucleotides) under uncultured bacterium. RNAcentral describes it as "partial 16S ribosomal RNA". It matches the Rfam family "Bacterial small subunit ribosomal RNA", at positions 524 to 776 of the family's 1533-position model. The record is from RNAcentral.
UACGGAGGGGGCUAGCGUUGCUCGGAAUUACUGGGCGUAAAGCGCACGUAGGCGGCUUUCUAUGUCGGUGGUGAAAUCCUGGAGCUCAACUCCAGAACUGCCUUCGAUACUGGAAAGCUCGAGUCCGGGAGAGGUGAGUGGAACUGCGAGUGUAGAGGUGAAAUUCGUAGAUAUUCGCAAGAACACCAGUGGCGAAGGCGGCUCACUGGCCCGGUACUGACGCUGAGGUGCGAAAGCGUGGGGAGCAAACAGG